Molecule: ribosomal RNA, 1451 nt
Filed under: uncultured bacterium
Lineage: Bacteria
Description: 16S ribosomal RNA
Rfam family: Bacterial small subunit ribosomal RNA
Source: RNAcentral
AGGGUUUGAUCAUGGCUCAGAACGUACGCUGGCGGCACGCCUAACACAUGCAAGUCGAACGAAGUAGCAAUACUUAGUGGCAGACGGGUGAGUAACAUGUAGGUAUCUGCCCUUUGGCCUGGAAUAACACGAGGAAACUUGUGCUAAUACCGGAUAAGUCUUUACGGAGAAAGCUUUAUGCACCAUUGGAUGAGCCUGCACUUGAUUAGUUUGUUGGUGGGGUAAUGGCCUACCAAGACUGUGAUCAAUAGCUGAUUUGAGAGGAUGAUCAGCCACAUUGGGACUGAGACACGGCCCAAACUCCUACGGGAGGCAGCAGUGGGGAAUCUUGCACAAUGGAGGAAACUCUGAUGCAGCGAUGCCGCGUGAGUGAAGAAGGCCCUUGGGUUGUAAAGCUCUUUCGUCGGGGAAGAAAAUGACUGUACCCGAAUAAGAAGGUCCGGCUAACUUCGUGCCAGCAGCCGCGGUAAUACGAAGGGACCUAGCGUAGUUCGGAAUUACUGGGCUUAAAGAGUUCGUAGGUGGUUGAAAAAGUUGGUGGUGAAAUCCCAGAGCUUAACUCUGGAACUGCCAUCAAAACUUUUCAGCUAGAGUAUGAUAGAGGAAAGCAGAAUUUCUAGUGUAGAGGUGAAAUUCGUAGAUAUUAGAAAGAAUACCAAUUGCGAAGGCAGCUUUCUGGAUCAUUACUGACACUGAGGAACGAAAGCAUGGGUAGCGAAGAGGAUUAGAUACCCUCGUAGUCCAUGCCGUAAACGAUGUGUGUUAGACGUUGGAAAUUUAUUUUCAGUGUCGCAGCGAAAGCGAUAAACACACCGCCUGGGGAGUACGACCGCAAGGUUAAAACUCAAAUGAAUUGACGGGGACCCGCACAAGUAGUGGAGCAUGUGGUUUAAUUCGAAGAUACGCGCAGAACCUUACCAACACUUGACAUGUUCGUCGCGACUCUAAGAGAUUAGAGUUUUCGGUUCGGCCGGACGAAACACAGGUGCUGCAUGGCUGUCGUCAGCUCGUGUCGUGAGAUGUUGGGUUAAGUCCCGCAACGAGCGCAACCCCUACUUUUAGUUGCCAUCAGGUAAUGCUGGGCACUCUGAAAGAACUGCCAGUGAUAAGCUGGAGGAAGGUGGGGAUGACGUCAAGUCCUCAUGGCCCUUACGGGUUGGGCUACACACGUGCUACAAUGGUAGUGACAAUGAGAUGCAAGGUGGCGACGCUAAGCUAAACUCAAAAAUCUACCUCAGUUCGGAUUGCACUCUGCAACUCGAGUGCAUGAAGCUGGAAUCGCUAGUAAUCGUAGAUCAGCGUGCUACGGUGAAUACGUUCCCGGGUCUUGUACACACCGCCCGUCACACCAUGGAAGUUGGUUCUACCUUAAAGCAGAUUGCUAACCGCAAGGAGGCGUUUGACCAAGGUAUAGUCAGCGACUGGGGUGAAGUCAUAACAAGGUAGCCGUA